GUUGGGUUCUGUCAAGUAAAAAUCUGCUUUGAAUUUUAGUUCUAGCCUGCAUCACGAAGAAUACUCUGCAAGCAGAAAGCUCCUUUGCAUUUUAAACUCUGAGGGUAAAAAAGAAAUAUCCUAUGACGUUCUUGUUCAUUUUUCUUUUAUACCUGAUUGCAUUCGGAUUGUAUUAUCUAAGCUUAUAGUAUAUCAAUUAAUUUCUGGGCUAGUGGGUAAAUUUAGAGCAGUGCUUUGGGUACAACAGAGCCUCUGCAACCAAAAAACAAAAACUAGAAGAAGAGGAAGAGGAAGGAGGAGGAAAAAGGACGACAAAAUUGCCUGUGAUUUUGGCAGUUGAAGCUACAAAGAACGUAGAGCUUGGAAACAAAGAGUUGUCUCAGGCAAUACAGCGGAAUAGCAGUAGCAGGACUUUUCUCUUGCUUUUCCUUUUUGUUCUUACUUUUUCAAUCCUCUUUCUGGAUUGGUAUAGUUGAAUUUCUGAUAGUACGUGGACUGCUGUGAUUACAAUUUUCCUUGUAAAUUUGAUUGCGGGAUGGGAAAAAUUGUAGAUUUAUUAUCAACAUUUGAGCAAAUUGAGUUUUGAGCUGUUGAAAUAAAAAACCUCUCCGUCUUACGCUGAAA
Long non-coding RNA from Populus nigra (black poplar), 624 nucleotides. RefSeq lists it as uncharacterized. The record is from RefSeq and is a predicted model, not a curated record. NCBI's taxonomy places the organism in Eukaryota, Viridiplantae, Streptophyta, Magnoliopsida, Malpighiales, Salicaceae. The transcript has 2 exons.